Molecule: ribosomal RNA, 279 nt
Filed under: uncultured bacterium
Lineage: Bacteria
Description: partial 16S ribosomal RNA
Rfam family: Bacterial small subunit ribosomal RNA
Source: RNAcentral
UGCCAGCCGCCGCGGUAAUACAGAGAUGGCAACCGUUGUUCGGAAUUACUGGGCGUAAAGCGCACGUAGGCGGAUUGGAAAGUUGGGGGUGAAAUCCCGGGGCUCAACCCCGGAACUGCCUCCAAAACUAUCAGUCUAGAGUUCGAGAGAGGUGAGUGGAACUCCGAGUGUAGAGGUGAAGUUCGUAGAUAUUCGGAAGAACACCAGUGGCGAAGGCGGCUCACUGGCUCGAUACUGACGCUGAGGUGCGAAAGUGUGGGGAGCAAACAGGAUUAGAUA